CUGGGUUUCCUCUGUGUCCUGUUUCAGAGCCUGCCCAGCACAGCUUUGAGGUGACAUGGUUCGUUCUUAGCUCUUCACCUCAACAGCAGUUCCACUGCUGUACAGACUGGAAAUCCUUAGCCCCAUGGAGACAGGAUUUGUCAAGCCUCAUGGAAGCAAUAACAUUAUCUGACAACAUGGAUUGCUACCAGUCAUCUGGACUGCUGUAUCCCAUGAUACAGAGCGUCUUUCACAUGCCUGAAGAGGAAACAAAUAAAUCACUGCAAAUUGUGAUGUGA
Molecule: long non-coding RNA, 278 nt
Organism: Columba livia (rock pigeon)
Lineage: Eukaryota; Metazoa; Chordata; Aves; Columbiformes; Columbidae
Exons: 2
Source: RefSeq, a predicted model, not a curated record